RNAcentral lists this ribosomal RNA (479 nucleotides) under uncultured bacterium. RNAcentral describes it as "partial 16S ribosomal RNA". It matches the Rfam family "Bacterial small subunit ribosomal RNA", at positions 28 to 507 of the family's 1533-position model. The record is from RNAcentral.
GAUGAACGCUCGCGGGAGGCCUAACACGUGCAAGCCGAGCGGUAUUUGUUCUUCGGAACAGAGAGAGCGGCGCACGGGUGCGGAACACGUGUGCAACCUGCCUUUAUCUGGGGGAUAGCCUUUCGAAAGGAAGAUUAAUACCCCAUAAUAUAUUGAGUGGCAUCAUUUGAUAUUGAAAACUCCGGUGGAUAGAGAUGGGCACGCGCAAGAUUAGAUAGUUGGUGAGGUAACGGCUCACCAAGUCAAUGAUCUUUAGGGGGCCUGAGAGGGUGAUCCCCCACACUGGUACUGAGACACGGACCAGACUCCUACGGGAGGCAGCAGUGAGGAAUAUUGGACAAUGGGUUAGCGCCUGAUCCAGCCAUCCCGCGUGAAGGACGACGGCCCUAUGGGUUGUAAACUUCUUUUGUAUAGGGAUAAACCUACUCUCGUGAGAGUAGCUGAAGGUACUAUACGAAUAAGCACCGGCUAACUCCGUG